This 254-nucleotide ribosomal RNA is filed under the name uncultured bacterium. Its description in RNAcentral is "partial 16S ribosomal RNA". It matches the Rfam family "Bacterial small subunit ribosomal RNA", at positions 99 to 353 of the family's 1533-position model. The record is from RNAcentral.
CGGACGGGUGAGUAAUGUCUGGGAAACUGCCUGAUGGAGGGGGAGUAACUACUGGAAACGGUAGCUAAUACCGCAUAACGUCGCAGGACCAAAGAGGGGGACCUUCGGGCCUCUUGCCAUCAGAUGUGCCCAGAUGGGAUUAGCUAGUAGGUGGGGUAACGGCUCACCUAGGCGACGAUCCCUAGCUGGUCUGAGAGGAUGACCAGCCACACUGGAACUGAGACACGGUCCAGACUCCUACGGGAGGCAGCAUG